CCUACGGGAGGCAGCAGUGAGGAAUAUUGGUCAAUGGACGAGAGUCUGAACCAGCCAAGUAGCGUGAAGGAUGACUGCCCUAUGGGUUGUAAACUUCUUUUAUAUGGGAAUAAAAUGUUCCACGUGUGGGAUUUUGUAUGUACCAUAUGAAUAAGGAUCGGCUAACUCCGUGCCAGCAGCCGCGGUAAUACGGAGGAUCCGAGCGUUAUCCGGAUUUAUUGGGUUUAAAGGGAGCGUAGGGGGAUUGGUAAGUCAGUUGUGAAAGUUUGCGGCUCAACCGUAAAAUUGCAGUUGAAACUGGCAGUCUUGAGUACAGUAGAGGUGGGCGGAAUUCGUGGUGUAGCGGUGAAAUGCUUAGAUAUCACGAAGAACUCCGAUUGCGAAGGCAGUUCACUGGACUGCAACUGACACUGAGGCUCGAAAGUGUGGGUAUCAAACAGGAUUAGAUACCCUUGUAGUC
RNAcentral lists this ribosomal RNA (460 nucleotides) under uncultured bacterium. RNAcentral's name for it is "partial 16S ribosomal RNA". It matches the Rfam family "Bacterial small subunit ribosomal RNA", at positions 338 to 795 of the family's 1533-position model. The record is from RNAcentral.